RNAcentral lists this ribosomal RNA (440 nucleotides) under uncultured bacterium. Its description in RNAcentral is "partial 16S ribosomal RNA". It matches the Rfam family "Bacterial small subunit ribosomal RNA", at positions 338 to 795 of the family's 1533-position model. The record is from RNAcentral.
CCUACGGGAGGCAGCAGUGAGGAAUAUUGGGCAAUGGAGGCAACUCUGACCCAGCCAUGUCGCGUGAGUGAAGAAGGUUCUCGGAUUGUAAAGCUCUUUCGGAUGUGACGAUGUUGACUGUAGCAUCUAACGAAGCCCCGGCUAACUUCGUGCCAGCAGCCGCGGUAAUCCGAAGGGGGCAAGCGUUGUUCGGAAUUACUGGGCGUAAAGGGAGUGUAGGCGGUUUAGUAAGAUAGUGGUGAAAUCCCAGAGCUUAACUUUGGAAGUGCCAUUAUCACUAUUAGACUAGAAUUACAGAGAGGAUAGUGGAAUACCCAGUGUAGAGGUGAAAUUCGUAGAUAUUGGGUAGAACACCAGUGGCGAAGGCGACUAUCUGGCUGUACAUUGACGCUGAGGCUCGAAAGCAUGGGGAUCAAACAGGAUUAGAUACCCCUGUAGUC